GAUUUGGGAAGGAGCUCGGAAUGGAGCCGCUGGAAGAGGAGACGCGUGCGGGGAGAGGGCCCGGGCGGGUGCCUGUCCCGUCCACACUUAGUCCCCGCGCCCCGCGGGCGCCUGAGAUUGUGAGCUGGUCCCGGGAGAUGUCCGAGGACCUCGGCGCGCCGGCCCCAGCAGUGGGCACGGGGGAAGAGGGCUGGUGGACGGGAUGUCCCCGGGAGAGCUGGACUUGCGCCGCCCGAGGCCCCUCACCUCUUGCAGGGCGCGCCGCCUCCGGCCCCGGUCCGGUCGCGCUGUCGCCGGUUCUUGAACCAGUUGCUGACCUGCGUGAGCGACAGGCCGGUGUCUAUACACGCCCCGCGGAGCAGACGGCCCACCUCCUCCCGGUCCUCCGGGGAAGGGGACACAUGAGGGACUCACCUGUGGCUCCCUCUGCCUGCAGCAACUCCAUCCGCUCCUGCAACUGCCGGACGUGUGCCUCUAGGUCCCGGUUCCGAGCCUCUGCCUCGCGUAGUUGACUGUGGGGAGGUAAGGACGGUGAGUCCGUCCGGGCCGGACGAGAGGGGAUGCCAAGGGUUGCCACCGGCCCGCAUCCCGGCCCCGGCCCCGGCCCCGAUCCCGACCUGGCGAAGUUCUGGUUGUCCGUGCGGAUGGCCUCCAUCUCCCGGCUCAGGCUCUGCCGGGUGAGCACCUCCUCCUCCAGGGCUUCCUGGAGCUCCCGCAGCGUCACCUCGGCCUCAGCCUCUGCCGCAGGGACAGCCGCUGGAACUGCCACUUCAGCCUGUGUAUGGGGACCAGGCUUAAGGCUGCCUGUGGCUCCUGGAAGAC
RNAcentral lists this long non-coding RNA (822 nucleotides) under Homo sapiens (human). RNAcentral's name for it is "long non-coding RNA NONHSAT066810.2". The record is from RNAcentral. Lineage: Eukaryota; Metazoa; Chordata; Mammalia; Primates; Hominidae.